This 433-nucleotide ribosomal RNA is filed under the name uncultured bacterium. Its description in RNAcentral is "partial 16S ribosomal RNA". It matches the Rfam family "Bacterial small subunit ribosomal RNA", at positions 28 to 507 of the family's 1533-position model. The record is from RNAcentral.
GACGAACGCUGGCGGCAUGCCUAACACAUGCAAGUCGAACGAACACUUCGGACUUAGUGGUGCACGGGUGUGUACCACGUGGUAACGUCCCGUUAGGUUCGCAAUAACUCACGGAAAGGUAGGCUAAGACCAAAUGUGCCCUUCAGGGCUAAGAUUUAUCGCCAUUGGAGCGGGCCGCGUCUGUUUAGCUAGUUGGUUGGGUAACGGCUCACCAAGGCGACGAUCCUUAGCUGGUAUGAGAGGAUGACCAGCCACCCUGGGGCUGAGACACGGACGAGACUCCUACGGAAGGAAGCAGUGGGGAAUAUUGCACGCUGGGCGAAAGCAUGACGCAGUCAUGCCGCGUGAAUGAUGAAGGUGUUAGGAAUGUAAAGUUCUUUGAAAGGGGACGAUAAUGACGGUACCGGGAGAAGAAGCCCCGGCUAACUUCGUG